RNAcentral lists this ribosomal RNA (535 nucleotides) under Diaporthe caulivora. RNAcentral describes it as "eukaryotic LSU rRNA". It matches the Rfam family "Eukaryotic large subunit ribosomal RNA", at positions 66 to 626 of the family's 3401-position model. Lineage: Eukaryota; Fungi; Ascomycota; Sordariomycetes; Diaporthales; Diaporthaceae. The record is from RNAcentral.
CAACAGGGAUUGCCCUAGUAACGGCGAGUGAAGCGGCAACAGCUCAAAUUUGAAAUCUGGCUUCGGCCCGAGUUGUAAUUUGCAGAGGAUGCUUCUGGCGCGGUGCCUUCCGAGUUCCCUGGAACGGGACGCCAAAGAGGGUGAGAGCCCCGUAUGGUUGGACACCAAGCCUGUGUGAAGCUCCUUCGACGAGUCGAGUAGUUUGGGAAUGCUGCUCUAAAUGGGAGGUAAAUCUCUUCUAAAGCUAAAUACCGGCCAGAGACCGAUAGCGCACAAGUAGAGUGAUCGAAAGAUGAAAAGCACCUUGAAAAGGGGGUUAAAUAGUACGUGAAAUUGUUGAAAGGGAAGCACUUAUGACCAGACUUGGGCCGGGCGGCUCAUCAGGGGUUCUCCCCUGUGCACUCCGCCCGGCACAGGCCAGCAUCGGUUCUCGUGGGGGGAUAAGACCGUCGGGAACGUAGCACCCUCCGGGGUGUGUUAUAGCCCGGCGGACGAUACCCCCGUGGGGACCGAGGUCCGCGCUCCGCAAGGAUGC